RNAcentral lists this ribosomal RNA (482 nucleotides) under uncultured bacterium. RNAcentral describes it as "partial 16S ribosomal RNA". It matches the Rfam family "Bacterial small subunit ribosomal RNA", at positions 30 to 507 of the family's 1533-position model. The record is from RNAcentral.
AUUGAACGCUGGCGGCAUGCUUUACACAUGCAAGUCGAACGGUAACAGGCCGCAAGGUGCUGACGAGUGGCGAACGGGUGCGUAAUGCAUCCGAACGUGCCCCGUCGUGGUGGAUAACUACUCGAAAGAGUAGCUCAUAGCGCAUACGAUCUAACGAUGAAAGCGGGGGGCCGUAAGGCUUCGCGCGGUUGGUGCUGCCGCUGUCAGAUUAGGUAGUUGGUGGGGUAAAGGCUCACCAAGCCAACGAUCUGUAGCUGGUCUGAGAGGACGACCAGCCACACUGGGACUGAGACACGGCCCAGACUCCUACGGGAGGCAGCAGUGGGGAAUUUUGGGCAAUGGGCGCAAGCCUGAUCCAGCAAUGCCGCGUGCAGGAAGAAGGCCUUCGGGUUGUAAACUGCUUUUGUACGGAACGAAACGGCUCUGGUUAAUACCCGGGGCUAAUGACGGUACCGUAAGAAUAAGCACCGGCUAACUACGUG